RNAcentral lists this ribosomal RNA (253 nucleotides) under uncultured bacterium. RNAcentral describes it as "partial 16S ribosomal RNA". It matches the Rfam family "Bacterial small subunit ribosomal RNA", at positions 524 to 776 of the family's 1533-position model. The record is from RNAcentral.
UACGUAGGGGGCAAGCGUUAUCCGGAUUUACUGGGUGUAAAGGGAGCGUAGACGGCUUUGCAAGCCAGAUGUGAAAGCCCGGGGCUCAACCUCGGGACUGCAUUUGGAACUGUAUGGCUGGAGUGUCGGAGAGGCAGGCGGAAUUCCUAGUGUAGCGGUGAAAUGUGUAGAUAUUAGGAGGAACACCAGUGGCGAAGGCGGCCUGCUGGACGAUGACUGACGCUGAGGCUCGAAAGCGUGGGGAGCAAACAGG